Molecule: long non-coding RNA, 599 nt
Organism: Panthera uncia (snow leopard)
Lineage: Eukaryota; Metazoa; Chordata; Mammalia; Carnivora; Felidae
Exons: 3
Source: RefSeq, a predicted model, not a curated record
AGAUUUGGGUCUUCGCUGAGACACUGGAAGAUUUGACAGCAGUGGAUCCACAGCAGCGAUUGGUUAGAGUGGGGCAGUCUCAGUGUGAAGAGUCUGAUUUGUGUAUGCCAGGUCUCAAGACGCUUGCCUGCGGAUGAGCUCUUUCAACUGUGCCAGUCUGUCACUUCUUAGUGCUUCCCGGAUGGAGUGGAAAAAACCAAAAUAGUGUUCAAAGUUGUGCAUCAUAAGCAGGACUCCAGCCAAUAGCUCGUUGGUCACCAGCAGAUGGUGGAUGUAUGCACGAGUAUGAUUCUUACAGCAGUAACAGGAACACCCUCUCACAAGUGGAUCGAAGUCCUCCUGGUACCUGAGAAAGGAAGUUACAACAAUAUUCCAGUUCAUUUACAAAGCAACUCGCGCUCUCAGAAUUUGAACUCUGCCCACAGGAUCUAAAACUCUAUUUGGCUUUAUUCUUCUUUGUAUUUUCUCCAUUAAUAAAAAGUCUACAUGGAAUGAGGUGGUAUUUUCAGAGGUAAUGGGUAAGGCAUUCUGGGAGGGUUAAUCAUACUCAACCAGGUUUUGCCACUAAAACAAGAAGGGGAGACACCCUGGAUCAGGGU